RNAcentral lists this non-coding RNA (46 nucleotides) under Trichobilharzia regenti. Lineage: Eukaryota; Metazoa; Platyhelminthes; Trematoda; Strigeidida; Schistosomatidae. The record is from RNAcentral.
UCAUUGCUGAAGAGUCCCAAACUAGGACGAAACAGCUGUCCAGUAC